This 409-nucleotide ribosomal RNA is filed under the name uncultured bacterium. RNAcentral describes it as "bacterial SSU rRNA". It matches the Rfam family "Bacterial small subunit ribosomal RNA", at positions 350 to 750 of the family's 1533-position model. The record is from RNAcentral.
AGCAGUGGGGAAUAUUGGACAAUGGGCGAAAGCCUGAUCCAGCCAUGCCGCGUGUGUGAAGAAGGUCUUCGGAUUGUAAAGCACUUUAAGUUGGGAGGAAGGGCCAUUACCUAAUACGUGAUGGUUUUGACGUUACCGACAGAAUAAGCACCGGCUAACUCUGUGCCAGCAGCCGCGGUAAUACAGAGGGUGCAAGCGUUAAUCGGAAUUACUGGGCGUAAAGCGCGCGUAGGUGGUUUGUUAAGUUGGGAUGUGAAAUCCCCGGGCUCAACCUGGGAACUGCAUUCAAAACUGACUGACUAGAGUAUGGUAGAGGGUGGUGGAAUUUCCUGUGUAGCGGUGAAAUGCGUAGAUAUAGGAAGGAACACCAGUGGCGAAGGCGACCACCUGGACUGAUACUGACACUGAG